CACUGGAAACAAGUUACCGGUCAAAACAAAAAGAGAGAUGACAUCAAUGAGUUUAGAGAUGGAUCACAUUCACUGUGUACUAUUAACUAAUGAAUCAAGCAAAUACAUCCAUGUCACAUGCUUUCUUACCAUGUACAGGUUAACUGUGCUAUAUAGAUGUUCUAUUCCAUUUAUAAAAAUACUAUGUUUGAUAGAAACAAACAAAACACAUUCAUACGAAACAGAACCAUAAACCUUAAACUCAACUCCACAUCUAAAUACUAAACCUUAAACUCGAAUCUCUAAACCAAAACCAAAAUAUUAAAUAUAAUUUCCAAUUAUAAUAUAUUUAAAAAAUAAAAUAAAAUAAAAAUAUGUAAAUUUUGAACUAUUAUUCUAUACUAUCUAAAAUGGAAUGGAGACUAUUCUUGUGAACUAAUGCAUUUGUGUUCAACCUUAACCCACUUCCAACAAAAGUAGUAUAUGACACCAACCCCAUCCCAACCCCUCAAUAAUAAACCAUAUAACAACCCCACCAUAAACCCCUAAAUACUUAACUUUAAACCAUAAUCACUAUACCCUAAACUAAAAUAUAAACCCUAAACCCAAAUAUAAAUCCUCAACCUAAAUCAAAUGGAACUAAAUAAAUAGCAUAAUACAUAUUGGUGAAAAUAUGAAAUGUCUAUGAUAUCAUCGAAGAAGUUAAUGC
Molecule: long non-coding RNA, 688 nt
Filed under: Brassica napus (rape)
Lineage: Eukaryota; Viridiplantae; Streptophyta; Magnoliopsida; Brassicales; Brassicaceae
Description: long non-coding RNA (BNAP_LNC013229)
Source: RNAcentral